RNAcentral lists this ribosomal RNA (467 nucleotides) under uncultured bacterium. RNAcentral's name for it is "partial 16S ribosomal RNA". It matches the Rfam family "Bacterial small subunit ribosomal RNA", at positions 28 to 507 of the family's 1533-position model. The record is from RNAcentral.
GACGAACGCUGGCGGCGUGCUUAACACAUGCAAGUCGAACGGAAAGGCCUCUUUCGGGGGGUACUCGAGUGGCGAACGGGUGAGUAACACGUGAGUAACCUGCCCUUGACUUUGGGAUAACUUCAGGAAACUGGGGCUAAUACCGGAUAGGAGCUCCUGCUGCAGGGUGGGGGUUGGAAAGUUUCGGCGGUUGGGGAUGGACUCGCGGCUUAUCAGCUUGUUGGUGGGGUAGUGGCUUACCAAGGCUUUGACGGGUAGCCGGCCUGAGAGGGUGACCGGCCACAUUGGGACUGAGAUACGGCCCAGACGCCUACGGGAGGAAGCAGUGGGGAAUAUUGCACAAUGGGUGGAAGCCUGAUGCAGCAACGCCGUGUGCGGGAUGACGGCCUUCGGGUUGUAAACCGCUUUCGCUCAUGACGAAGCUUUGUGUGACGGUAGUGGGUAAAGAAGCACCGGCUAACUACGUG